CAACUCGAGUGCAUGAAGCUGGAAUCGCUAGUAAUCGCGGAUCAGAAUGCCGCGGUGAAUACGUUCCCGGGUCUUGUACACACCGCCCGUCACACCAUGGGAGCCGACAACGCCCGAAGUCAGUGACCUAACCGAGAGGGAGGAGCUGCCGAAGGCGGGGUUGGUAACUGGGGUGAAGUCGUAACAAGGUAGC
This 193-nucleotide ribosomal RNA is filed under the name uncultured bacterium. Its description in RNAcentral is "partial 16S ribosomal RNA". It matches the Rfam family "Bacterial small subunit ribosomal RNA", at positions 1308 to 1500 of the family's 1533-position model. The record is from RNAcentral.